GUCUUAUAGAUUUUAAUUUUAAGUCAAUCUGCUCAAUGAAUUAAUUUUUAAAUGGCUGCAGUAUAUUGACUGUACAAAGGUAGCAUAAUAAAUUGUCUUUUAAUUGAAGAAUGGAAUGAAAGAAUUAAUGAAAUAUAAACUGUCUCUAUUAUAUUUAAUAAAAUUAAAUUUUUAGUUAAAAUGCUAAAAUUAAAUUAUGGGACGAUAAGACCCUAUAGAAUUUUAUAUUAUUAAUAAAAUAAAAAUAAAAUUUUAUUUUUAUUUUAUUAAUAAUAUUUUAUUGGGAUGAUUAAUAAAUUAAAUUAACUUUAUUAAAAUAAAAACUUUGAUUUAAGAAAAUUAAAUUGAUAAAAUUAUAUUAAUUAAUAAAUUAAAUUACCUUAGGGAUAACAGCGUAAUAUCUUUUAUAAGAUCUUAUUAAUAAAGAUGUUUGCGACCUCGAUGUUGAAUUAAGAUAAAUUUUAAAUGAAGAAAUUUAAUAAUUAAGUCUGUUCGACUUUUAAAAUCUUACAUGAUUUGAGUUCAGAUCGACGUAAGU
Molecule: ribosomal RNA, 538 nt
Filed under: Eulaema boliviensis
Lineage: Eukaryota; Metazoa; Arthropoda; Insecta; Hymenoptera; Apidae
Description: partial 16S ribosomal RNA
Rfam family: Archaeal large subunit ribosomal RNA (bases 386-538)
Source: RNAcentral